Molecule: ribosomal RNA, 396 nt
Filed under: uncultured bacterium
Lineage: Bacteria
Description: partial 16S ribosomal RNA
Rfam family: Bacterial small subunit ribosomal RNA
Source: RNAcentral
AUACGUAGGGAGCGAGCGUUGUCCGGAAUUACUGGGUGUAAAGGGAGCGUAGGCGGGAGUGCAAGUCAGAUGUGAAAUACAUGGGCUCAACCCAUGGGCUGCAUUUGAAACUGCAUUUCUUGAGUGAAGUAGAGGUAAGCGGAAUUCCUGGUGUAGCGGUGAAAUGCGUAGAUAUCAGGAGGAACACCGGUGGCGAAGGCGGCUUACUGGGCUAUUACUGACGCUGAGGCUCGAAAGCGUGGGGAGCAAACAGGAUUAGAUACCCUGGUAGUCCACGCUGUAAACGAUGAUUACUAGGUGUGGGGGGACUGACCCCUUCCGUGCCGCAGUUAACACAAUAAGUAAUCCACCUGGGGAGUACGGCCGCAAGGUUGAAACUCAAAUGAAUUGACGGGG